CCUACGGACGGCAGCAGUGGGGAAUAUUGCACAAUGAGCGAAAGCCUGAUGCAGCAACGCCGCGUGCACGAAGACGGUUUUCGGAUUGUAAACUUCUGUUCUUAGUGAAGAAUAAUGACGGUAACUAAGGAUCCCGCCCCGGCUCACUACGUGCCAGCAGCCGCGGUAAUACGUAGGUUGCAAGCGUUGUCCGGAAUUACUGGGUGUAAAGGGAGCGUAGGCGGGAGGCCAAGUCAGCUGUGAAAACCACGGGCUUAACCUGUAGCCUGCAGUUGAAACUGGCUUUCUUGAGUGAAGUAGAGGUGGGCGGAAUUCCGAGUGUAGCGGUGAAAUGCGUAGAUAUUCGGAGGAACACCGGUGGCGAAGGCGGCCAACUGGGCUUUAACUGACGCUGAGGCGCGAAAGUGUGGGGAGCAAACAGGAUUAGAUACCCUUGUAGUC
This 441-nucleotide ribosomal RNA is filed under the name uncultured bacterium. RNAcentral's name for it is "partial 16S ribosomal RNA". It matches the Rfam family "Bacterial small subunit ribosomal RNA", at positions 338 to 795 of the family's 1533-position model. The record is from RNAcentral.